Molecule: RNA transcript, 1188 nt
Organism: Dioscorea cayenensis subsp. rotundata (Guinea yam)
Lineage: Eukaryota; Viridiplantae; Streptophyta; Magnoliopsida; Dioscoreales; Dioscoreaceae
Exons: 3
Source: RefSeq, a predicted model, not a curated record
AUAAUGUACUUAAAAUAUUGUGGUGUGUACACCUGAUGUGGUUCCUAUUCAUAGAACUUCUCUCAAUCAAUCUGAUUGUUCAAGCAUUAUGAUCAGUAUUCAUAUUUAUAAGUCAUGGGACUGAGGCAAGUGUUCAAAUCCUUUUCAAAUCCUCUGCUCUCAAUCCACCUGGCAUUUCCCAACCAAAGUGAUGCACAAGAUUUGUAAGAGCAAACUCAAUUGUGGCAACCACAAACUGCAUUCCUCCACAAAUCUUUCAGCAAACUUGAAAUCAUGUCAUCAGAAGUGUAAACAACUGUUCAUAAAUCUCUCUGGUAUGAACUUCAAAGCCCAAGAAUUCGACUCCCUCACUAUCAUGACUCUUGCUUUGAUGAUUACUAUUGUUUUUGUGUUGAUCACUGUCUUUGAUGGUUUCUCUCGAGGAGGUAAUAAUGGAGUUGAAGGAUGUUGUCUUAUCACUUCUUUCAUUAAUGACGCAAGGCCUCACUUCCUUUCAAACUCUGUUAAUUGAAGAUUGUCCAGGGCUGAAGUCUUUUUCAGAAGGCCUCCAACCGCUUCUUCCUACUCUCAUGAAAAUGACAAUCUAUGAAUGCUAUCUCAUGUUCAGUAAUAGGAGAAUAAUUAUGCAAGCCUGGAGGAGAUUAUUACCACAUUCUCUCUACUAUCUCAUGUUCAGUAAUAGGAGAAACAAGUUUCUCAGAAGGGUUCCUUUCCUUCUAUCAGCAAUUUUCAUUUGUUCUAUUGCAUGUUUCAUAUAUUUCUACAUCAACAAGCCUAAUACCAAGGAAAGAUGCAUCUUUGUGAUCAAUGUAGCGAAACUCUAGUGUUCUGUGCACAUGAUGGUUCUUAAUGAUAGAACUUCCCUGAAGCAUUCCAAUCCUUUUAUCACUGAAUAUAAUCCUGUGGGUGGAAUUGUUUUGGUACUUAAACAAGUCAUGGGAACUGAGUUAAAUGUCUGAAUCCUUUCAAAUCCUCUGCACUCAAUCCAUUCGGCAUUUCCUAACCAAAGUGAUGAUGUACAACAUUUGCAAGAGUAAAUUCAACUGUGGCAACUGGAAACUGGCAACUGCAUUCCUCCUUUUGCCCAACACCAAAUGAAAGAGACUCGAAAUCAUGUCAUCUGAAAUCUAAAUCACUGUUCAUAAAUUUAUCCGCCCUCCAACUCAGUGUCCUUGAUGAUGCUCUAAA